RNAcentral lists this ribosomal RNA (1248 nucleotides) under Chryseobacterium sp. RNAcentral's name for it is "bacterial SSU rRNA". It matches the Rfam family "Bacterial small subunit ribosomal RNA", at positions 60 to 1318 of the family's 1533-position model. The record is from RNAcentral. Lineage: Bacteria; Pseudomonadati; Bacteroidota; Flavobacteriia; Flavobacteriales; Weeksellaceae.
AGCCGAGCGGUGAGAUUCUUCGGAAUCUUGAGAGCGGCGUACGGGUGCGGAACACGUGUGCAACCUACCUUUAUCAGGGGGAUAGCCUUUCGAAAGGAAGAUUAAUACCCCAUAAUAUAUUGAAUGGCAUCAUUUAAUAUUGAAAACUCCGGUGGAUAGAGAUGGGCACGCGCAAGAUUAGAUAGUUGGUAGGGUAACGGCCUACCAAGUCAAUGAUCUUUAGGGGGCCUGAGAGGGUGAUCCCCCACACUGGUACUGAGACACGGACCAGACUCCUACGGGAGGCAGCAGUGAGGAAUAUUGGACAAUGGGUGAGAGCCUGAUCCAGCCAUCCCGCGUGAAGGACGACGGCCCUAUGGGUUGUAAACUUCUUUUGUAUAGGGAUAAACCUACUCUCGUGAGAGUAGCUGAAGGUACUAUACGAAUAAGCACCGGCUAACUCCGUGCCAGCAGCCGCGGUAAUACGGAGGGUGCAAGCGUUAUCCGGAUUUAUUGGGUUUAAAGGGUCCGUAGGCGGAUCUGUAAGUCAGUGGUGAAAUCUCAUAGCUUAACUAUGAAACUGCCAUUGAUACUGCAGGUCUUGAGUAAAGUAGAAGUGGCUGGAAUAAGUAGUGUAGCGGUGAAAUGCAUAGAUAUUACUUAGAACACCAAUUGCGAAGGCAGGUCACUAUGUUUUAACUGACGCUGAUGGACGAAAGCGUGGGGAGCGAACAGGAUUAGAUACCCUGGUAGUCCACGCCGUAAACGAUGCUAACUCGUUUUUGGGUUUUCGGAUUCAGAGACUAAGCGAAAGUGAUAAGUUAGCCACCUGGGGAGUACGUUCGCAAGAAUGAAACUCAAAGGAAUUGACGGGGGCCCGCACAAGCGGUGGAUUAUGUGGUUUAAUUCGAUGAUACGCGAGGAACCUUACCAAGGCUUAAAUGGGAAUUGACAGGUUUAGAAAUAGACUUUUCUUCGGACAAUUUUCAAGGUGCUGCAUGGUUGUCGUCAGCUCGUGCCGUGAGGUGUUAGGUUAAGUCCUGCAACGAGCGCAACCCCUGUCACUAGUUGCCAUCAUUCAGUUGGGGACUCUAGUGAGACUGCCUACGCAAGUAGAGAGGAAGGUGGGGAUGACGUCAAAUCAUCACGGCCCUUACGCCUUGGGCCACACACGUAAUACAAUGGCCAGUACAGAGGGCAGCUACCAGGCGACUGGAUGCGAAUCUCGAAAGCUGGUCUCAGUUCGGAUUGGAGUCUGCAACUCGACUC